AUUGAACGCUGGCGGCAGGCUUAACACAUGCAAGUCGAGCGGGGUGAUGGUGCUUGCACUAUCACUUAGCGGCGGACGGGUGAGUAAUGCUUAGGAAUCUGCCUAUUAGCGGGGGACAACAUCUCGAAAGGGAUGCUAAUACCGCAUACGUCCUACGGGAGAAAGCAGGGGAUCACUUGUGACCUUGCGCUAAUAGAUGAGCCUAAGUCAGAUUAGCUAGUUGGUGGGGUAAAGGCCUACCAAGGCGACGAUCUGUAGCGGGUCUGAGAGGAUGAUGCGCCACACUGGGACUGAGACACGGCCCAGACUGCUACGGGAGGCAGCAGUGGGGAAUAUUGGACAAUGGGGGGAACCCUGAUCCAGCCAUGCCGCGUGUGUGAAGAAGGCCUUAUGGUUGUAAAGCACUUUAAGCGAGGAGGAGGCUCUGUUGGUUAAUACCCAAGAUGAGUGGACGUUACUCGCAGAAUAAGCACCGGCUAACUCUGUGCCAGCCGCCGCGGUAA
This 503-nucleotide ribosomal RNA is filed under the name uncultured bacterium. RNAcentral describes it as "partial 16S ribosomal RNA". It matches the Rfam family "Bacterial small subunit ribosomal RNA", at positions 30 to 523 of the family's 1533-position model. The record is from RNAcentral.